This 460-nucleotide ribosomal RNA is filed under the name uncultured bacterium. RNAcentral describes it as "partial 16S ribosomal RNA". It matches the Rfam family "Bacterial small subunit ribosomal RNA", at positions 338 to 795 of the family's 1533-position model. The record is from RNAcentral.
CCUACGGGGGACAGCAGUGAGGAAUAUUGGUCAAUGGACGAGAGUCUGAACCAGCCAAGUAGCGUGAAGGAUGACUGCCCUAUGGGUUGUAAACUUCUUUUAUAUGGGAAUAAAAUGUUCCACGUGUGGGAUUUUGUAUGUACCAUAUGACUAAGGAUCGGCUAACUCCGUGCCAGCAGCCGCGGUAAUACGGAGGAUCCGAGCGUUAUCCGGAUUUAUUGGGUUUAAAGGGAGCGUAGGUGGAGUGUUAAGUCAGUUGUGAAAGUUUGCGGCUCAACCGUAAAAUUGCAGUUGAAACUGGCAGUCUUGAGUACAGUAGAGGUGGGCGGAAUUCGUGGUGUAGCGGUGAAAUGCUUAGAUAUCACGAAGAACUCCGAUUGCGAAGGCAGUUCACUGGACUGCAACUGACACUGAGGCUCGAAAGUGUGGGUAUCAAACAGGAUUAGAUACCCUGGUAGUC